GAUUAAGUUAUUAAGGGCGCACGGUGGAUGCCUUGGCACUAGAAGCCGAUGAAGGACGUUACUAACGACGAUAGCUUUGGGGAGCUGUAAGUAAGUGUGAUCC
This 103-nucleotide ribosomal RNA is filed under the name Staphylococcus arlettae CVD059. RNAcentral describes it as "partial 23S ribosomal RNA". It matches the Rfam family "Bacterial large subunit ribosomal RNA", at positions 1 to 105 of the family's 2925-position model. Lineage: Bacteria; Bacillati; Bacillota; Bacilli; Caryophanales; Staphylococcaceae. The record is from RNAcentral.